GCCCGUUGGUGUGCGGCACGCUGCGGUCCGUACCCGGCCCGGGGCCCGCGCCCGCGCCCGGGUGGAAGCGGGCCUUGGCGUAGUUGCUCACGAACUGGUCCUGCAGGAAAGAGCCGGCCAUGGCGUAGCGGGCCCCGGGCACGAUCUGCGAGCGCGGCGAGUCGUUGGGCGAGGGGGUCAGGCGGUCCAUGUCACAGCCGGUGUAGAUCCUGCGGGAUUGUUUCAGAAACCCCUAGGAAAAAGCCGCGCACGCAGUAAUCAUCAAAGACGGGCCUUCACCCGUGUUCUGGAACCCGAGGUUUGCUGCUGGAAGCCUCCAAGGUACUUAGUGUCUAUUGUUUCCCCUGUGUGAAACUUUCACUCCCACCUCUACUAAUACAAACAAGAAUUACUACUCUGAAA
RNAcentral lists this non-coding RNA (402 nucleotides) under Pongo abelii (Sumatran orangutan). Lineage: Eukaryota; Metazoa; Chordata; Mammalia; Primates; Hominidae. The record is from RNAcentral.